AUUGAACGCUGGCGGCAUGCUUUACACAUGCAAGUCGAGCGGCAGCGCGGGGGCAACCCUGGCGGCGAGCGGCGGACGGGUGAGUAAUGCAUCGGAACGUAUCCCGUAGUGGGGGACAACCCAGCGAAAGCUGGGCUAAUACCGCAUAUGCUCUACGGAGGAAAGUGGGGGACCCGCAAAGGGCCUCACGCUAUGGGAGCGGCCGAUGUCCGAUUAGCUAGUUGGUGGGGUAAAGGCCCACCAAGGCGACGAUCGGUAGCUGGUCUGAGAGGAUGAUCAGCCACACUGGGACUGAGACACGGCCCAGACUCCUACGGGAGGCAGCAGUGGGGAAUUUUGGACAAAUGGGGGCAACCCUGAUCCAGCCAUGCCGCGUGCGGGAAGAAGGCCUCGGUUGUAA
This 400-nucleotide ribosomal RNA is filed under the name uncultured bacterium. Its description in RNAcentral is "bacterial SSU rRNA". It matches the Rfam family "Bacterial small subunit ribosomal RNA", at positions 29 to 428 of the family's 1533-position model. The record is from RNAcentral.